RNAcentral lists this small RNA (154 nucleotides) under Legionella cardiaca. RNAcentral's name for it is "6S RNA". It matches the Rfam family "6S / SsrS RNA", at positions 18 to 170 of the family's 187-position model. From Rfam's summary of the family: E. coli 6S RNA was the first non coding RNA to be sequenced, but its function was unknown until recently. The record is from RNAcentral. Lineage: Bacteria; Pseudomonadati; Pseudomonadota; Gammaproteobacteria; Legionellales; Legionellaceae.
GAGUUGUGGUUAAAAAUCUUGCACGGCUAACAAAACCAUUUCGGAAGUCAAAAGAAGGUAUGGUGAGCAAGCUUGGCAUUGACCAAGACGCCUAAGAUACUUUUGGUGACAUCCUCUUAGCAACAGUGACCGUUGCAAGACUUAACCACUUAUC